This 403-nucleotide ribosomal RNA is filed under the name bacterium. Its description in RNAcentral is "partial 16S ribosomal RNA". It matches the Rfam family "Bacterial small subunit ribosomal RNA", at positions 355 to 776 of the family's 1533-position model. The record is from RNAcentral.
UGGGGAAUAUUGCACAAUGGAGGGAACUCUGAUGCAGCGACGCCGCGUGAACGAAGAAGGCUUUCGAGUCGUAAAGUUCUUUUAUAUGGGAAGAUAAUGACGGUACCAUAAGAAAAAGCCCCGGCUAACUACGUGCCAGCAGCCGCGGUAAUACGUAGGGGGCUAGCGUUGUCCGGAAUCACUGGGCGUAAAGGGUUCGCAGGCGGAAAUGCAAGUCAGGUGUAAAAGGCAGUAGCUUAACUACUGUAAGCAUUUGAAACUGCAUAUCUUGAGAAGAGUAGAGGUAAGUGGAAUUUUUAGUGUAGCGGUGAAAUGCGUAGAUAUUAAAAAAAAUACCGGUGGCGAAGGCGGCUUACUGGGCUCAUUCUGACGCUGAGGAACGAAAGCGUGGGUAGCAAACAGG